UUAAACGGGGAAAACACUUACCAAAUCUUGACAUCCCCUUGACAAAGUAUGUAAUGUACUCUUUCUUUCGGAACAUGAGUGACAAGAGGUGCAUGGUUUGUCGUCAGCUCGUGUCGUGAGAUGUUGGGUUAAGUCCCGCAACGAGCGCAACCCUUAUCUUUAGUAGCCAGCAUUUAGGAUGGGCACUCUAGAGAGACUGCCCGGGUGAACCGGGAGGAAGGUGGGGAUGACGUCAAAUCAUCAUGCCCCUUAUGAUUUGGGCUACACACGUGCUACAAUGGCGUAAACAAAGGGAAGCAAUUGGGUGACCAUGAGCAAAUCUCAAAAAUAACGUCUCAGUUCGGAUUGUAGUCUGCAACUCGACUACAUGAAGCUGGAAUCGCUAGUAAUCGCGAAUCAGAAUGUCGCGGUGAAUACGUUCCCGGGUCUGUACCCCCCCGAA
Molecule: ribosomal RNA, 442 nt
Filed under: uncultured rumen bacterium
Lineage: Bacteria
Description: bacterial SSU rRNA
Rfam family: Bacterial small subunit ribosomal RNA
Source: RNAcentral